AGUGAAUGCUGGCGGUAGGCCUAACACAUGCAAGUCGAACGGCAGCACCGUAAGAGCUUGCUCUUACGGGUGGCGAGUGGCGGACGGGUGAGGAAUACAUCGGAAUCUACUUUUUCGUGGGGGAUAACGUAGGGAAACUUACGCUCAUACCGCAUACGACCUACGGGUGAAAGCAGGGGAUCUUCGGACCUUGCGCGAUUGAAUGAGCCGAUGUGGGAUUAGCUAGUUGGCGGGGUAAAGGCCCACCAAGGCGGCGAUCCGUAGCUGGUCUGAGAGGAUGAUCGGCCACACUGGAACUGAGACACGGUCCAGACUCCUACGGGAGGCAGCAGUGGGGAAUAUUGGACAAUGGGCGCAAGCCUGAUCCAGCCAUACCGCGUGGGUGAAGAAGGCCUUCGGGUUGUAAAGCCCUUUUGUUGGGAAAGAAAAGCAGCAGGUUAAUACCCCGCUGUUCUGACGGUACCCAAAGAAUAAGCACCGGCUAACUUCGUG
RNAcentral lists this ribosomal RNA (492 nucleotides) under uncultured bacterium. RNAcentral describes it as "partial 16S ribosomal RNA". It matches the Rfam family "Bacterial small subunit ribosomal RNA", at positions 29 to 507 of the family's 1533-position model. The record is from RNAcentral.